GACGAACGCUGGCGGCGUGCUUAACACAUGCAAGUCGAACGAUGAAACCUAGCUUGCUAGGUCGAUUAGUGGCGAACGGGUGAGAAACACGUGAGAAACCUGCCUUUCAUUUUGGGAUAACUCCGGGAAACCGGAGCUAACACCGAAUACUCCGUCUCGGCGGCAUCCCUUAGCCGGGAACAACUUAUGAUGAAAGAUGGUCUCGCGGCCUAUCAGCUAGUUGGUGAGGUAAAGGCUCACCAAGGCGACGACGGGUAGCCGGCCUGAGAGGGCGACCGGCCACACUGGGACUGAGACACGGCCCAGACUCCUACGGGAGGCAGCAGUGGGGAAUAUUGGGCAAUGGGCGCAAGCCUGACCCAGCGACGCCGCGUGAGGGAUGAAGGCCUUCGGGUUGUAAACCUCUUUCAGUAGGGAAGAAGCGAAAGUGACGGUACCUAAAGAAGAAGCACCGGCUAACUAUGUGCCAGCCGCCGCAGUAA
RNAcentral lists this ribosomal RNA (482 nucleotides) under uncultured bacterium. RNAcentral's name for it is "partial 16S ribosomal RNA". It matches the Rfam family "Bacterial small subunit ribosomal RNA", at positions 28 to 523 of the family's 1533-position model. The record is from RNAcentral.